ACGAACGCUGGCGGCAUGCCUAACACAUGCAAGUCGAACGAGACCUUCGGGUCUAGUGGCGCACGGGUGCGUAACGCGUGGGAACCUGCCCUUAGGUUCGGAAUAACUCCCCGAAAGGGGUGCUAAUACCGGAUAAUGUCUUCGGACCAAAGAUUUAUCGCCUUUGGAUGGGCCCGCGUUGGAUUAGCUAGUUGGUAGGGUAAAAGCCUACCAAGGCGACGAUCCAUAGCUGGUCUGAGAGGAUGAUCAGCCACACUGGGACUGAGACACGGCCCAGACUCCUACGGGAGGCAGCAGUGGGGAAUAUUGGACAAUGGGAGAAAGCCUGAUCCAGCAAUGCCGCGUGAGUGAUGAAGGCCUUAGGGUUGUAAAGCUCUUUUACCCGGGAUGAUAAUGACAGUACCGGGAGAAUAAGCGCCGGCUAACUCCGUG
RNAcentral lists this ribosomal RNA (432 nucleotides) under uncultured bacterium. RNAcentral's name for it is "partial 16S ribosomal RNA". It matches the Rfam family "Bacterial small subunit ribosomal RNA", at positions 29 to 507 of the family's 1533-position model. The record is from RNAcentral.